AUCAUCUCCAUGACCUGAUUUUUCUGCAUUUCCAUGACUUCCGCCUGUUUCUUUUGCAAUUUUCGGUUCUCCUCUUUUAUCUUUUCAACUUCUGCUUCCAACUCCAUGGUAUAAGCCUGCUUGCGAGCCCGUGACCUUGCAGCUGACUCUCUGUUCUUAAUCAUUCUUCUCUGCCUCCUCUCAACCACCUUCUCCACAGCACCAGUGGCUCUCCUUCCCCUUAAACCUCCAUUAAAGACAUAAGGAACUGGCGACACUGAAGAUGUGUCCCCAUUACUCUUUGUAAUCCCAUCUGACGACAGCUGGUUUGCAGGUGAUCCCGUUGCAACACCUCCUAAUCCAACCAUUCCCAAAGCU
This 357-nucleotide unclassified non-coding RNA is filed under the name Hevea brasiliensis (rubber tree). The record is from RNAcentral. Lineage: Eukaryota; Viridiplantae; Streptophyta; Magnoliopsida; Malpighiales; Euphorbiaceae.